CGUUUAGGGGUAAACCUGAGAAACCCGAAAGGUCGAAGGGAGAAAUUCAUUCGCGUUUCGUUGUAGGCGUUAGGUGGAGUUGUGUGACGAAAGGCGUUCGCGUUUUUCGCACCCUCUAUUUGACGAACCGAUGACGAACGCGUGCACUUUUCUCCUGGUAGGACGUCGCGAUCCGUUGGGUGUCGGUCUACGGCACGUGGUGGAGCCCGUUUGUCAUUACGUACGAACGGACCCAUGUUGACCUGGCCGACUCGCUCGACGGUAUACGAAAGGUUAAGGGCCGCUCAUUUGGAGCGUCCGACUUGUGGCAAGCGCGCCAGAUGUGUUGGCGAUCGGACCUAGUGCCGAUUCUGACCUCUGGUGACUGUUGGCUACAAAGUUCUUGGACAGACCCGAUUUUUUGACCGAUCUGCGACGCUAUAGCUUUGGGUACUUUCAGGACCCGUCUUGAAACACGGACCAAGGAGUCUAGCAUGUACGCGAGUCAUUGGGAAUCACUAAACCUAAAGGCGAAAUGAAAGUAAAGGUCUUCCUAGCGGAGACCGAGGGAAGACGGGCGGUUUACCCUUAAAAGUGGCCGCCCCGCAUUCCCGGGGCGUCUCGUUCUCAUUGCGAGAAGAGGCGCACCAAGAGCGUACACGCUGGGACCCGAAAGAUGGUGAACUAUGCCUGGUCAGGACGAAGUCAGGGGAAACCCUGAUGGAGGUCCGUAGCGAUUCUGACGUGCAAAUCGAUCGUCUGAACUGGGUAUAGGGGCGAAAGACUAAUCGAACCAUC
RNAcentral lists this ribosomal RNA (777 nucleotides) under Hylesinus toranio. Its description in RNAcentral is "eukaryotic LSU rRNA". It matches the Rfam family "Eukaryotic large subunit ribosomal RNA", at positions 406 to 944 of the family's 3401-position model. The record is from RNAcentral. Lineage: Eukaryota; Metazoa; Arthropoda; Insecta; Coleoptera; Curculionidae.